RNAcentral lists this transfer RNA (71 nucleotides) under Intestinozyma alai. Its description in RNAcentral is "Candida alai tRNA-Arg". It matches the Rfam family "tRNA". From Rfam's summary of the family: Transfer RNA (tRNA) molecules are approximately 80 nucleotides in length. Their secondary structure includes four short double-helical elements and three loops (D, anti-codon, and T loops). Further hydrogen bonds mediate the characteristic L-shaped molecular structure. tRNAs have two regions of fundamental functional importance: the anti-codon, which is responsible for specific mRNA codon recognition, and the 3' end, to which the tRNAs corresponding amino acid is attached (by aminoacyl-tRNA synthetases). tRNAs cope with the degeneracy of the genetic code in two manners: having more than one tRNA (with a specific anti-codon) for a particular amino acid; and 'wobble' base-pairing, i.e. permitting non-standard base-pairing at the 3rd anti-codon position. Lineage: Eukaryota; Fungi; Ascomycota; Pichiomycetes; Serinales; Debaryomycetaceae. The record is from RNAcentral.
UAUCUUAUAGUUUAAUGGUAAAACAUAAUACUUCUAAUAUUAUAAUUUAGGUUCAAAUCCUAAUAGGAUAU